Molecule: unclassified non-coding RNA, 253 nt
Filed under: uncultured Gemmatimonadota bacterium
Lineage: Bacteria; Pseudomonadati; Gemmatimonadota
Description: uncultured Gemmatimonadetes bacterium contains 16S-23S intergenic spacer region
Rfam family: Bacterial small subunit ribosomal RNA
Source: RNAcentral
AACGGAGGGCACAAGCGUUGUUCGGAAUUACUGGGCGUAAAGCGCGCGUAGGCGGGCUUGGAAGUCGGCGGUGAAAGGCCGGGGCUCAACCCCGGAGGUGCCGUCGAAACUCCAAGUCUAGGGACCGGUAGAGGCCGGUGGAAUUCCCGGAGUAGCGGUGGAAUGCGUAGAGAUCGGGAAGAACACCCGUGGCGAAGGCGGCCGGCUGGGUCGGAUCCGACGCUGAGGCGCGAAAGCGUGGGGAGCAAACAGG